AGAGCAGGACAAAUGACCGCUGUUCCGUCUUUUGGCGGGAGGGAGGAAAGUCCGGGCUCCACAGGACAGAGCGCUGGGUAACGCCCAGUCCCGGCAACGGGAAGGAAAGUGCCACAGAAAGUAAACCGCCCACGGCAUGGCCGAGGGUAAGGGUGAAAGGGUGAGGUAAGAGCUCACCAGUCCUGACGGCGACGACAGGAGCUAGGUAAACCCCGCUCGGAGCAAGACCAAAUAGGGGGACGCAUGAGGGCUGUCCGUCCUAGUCCCCGGGUAGGUCGCAUGAUCCCGUCGGCAACGGCGGGGCUAGAUGAAUGGUCAUUGUCCCCCGUCAGGGGGAAACAGAACCCGGCUUAUGGCCUGCUCUAACA
RNAcentral lists this RNase P RNA (368 nucleotides) under Desulfobacteraceae bacterium. RNAcentral's name for it is "RNase P RNA component class A". It matches the Rfam family "Bacterial RNase P class A". Rfam says of the family: Ribonuclease P (RNase P) is a ubiquitous endoribonuclease, found in archaea, bacteria and eukarya as well as chloroplasts and mitochondria. Its best characterised activity is the generation of mature 5'-ends of tRNAs by cleaving the 5'-leader elements of precursor-tRNAs. Cellular RNase Ps are ribonucleoproteins. The record is from RNAcentral. Lineage: Bacteria; Pseudomonadati; Thermodesulfobacteriota; Desulfobacteria; Desulfobacterales; Desulfobacteraceae.